AAGACUAUACUUCAGAGGAUCAUUUCUGUAGUUUGUCUUCCAUCGUCUUCUUUCAGCAAUGAGAAAAGACACCCAGCCACGUUGAUGAGGUGCGGUGCUUUCUUCUGAGCGUGAAACUUGGCAUGGAAGUUGUCUCUUGCGGACUGACUUCCAUUGCUGCUGAUGAUCGUUCACCGGAUGACUCUUCGGAAUCGACCGGCAAUGAAGAAAGUGCUUUCUGAGUGGU
Culicoides brevitarsis is the source of this 226-nucleotide small nucleolar RNA. RefSeq annotates it as small nucleolar RNA U3. The transcript has a single exon. Lineage: Eukaryota; Metazoa; Arthropoda; Insecta; Diptera; Ceratopogonidae. The record is from RefSeq and is a predicted model, not a curated record.